GAUGAAGAACGCAGCGAAAUGCGAUAAGUAGUGUGAAUUGCAGAAUUCAGUGAAUCAUCGAAUCUUUGAACGCACAUUGCGCCCUUUGGUAUUCCUUAGGGCAUGCCUGUUCGAGCGUCAUUUAAACCUUCAAGCUAAGCUUGGUGUUGGGUGACUGUCCGCUUCACCGCGGACUCGCCUCAAAAUUAUUGGCGGCCGGUACAUUGGCUUCGAGCGCAGCAGAAACGCGAACUCGGGCCCGUCGUAUUGGCUCCCAGAAGCUAUCUUCACAAUUUUGACCUCGGAUCAGGUAGGGAUACCCGCUGAACUUAAGCAUAUCAAUAAGCGGAGGA
RNAcentral lists this unclassified non-coding RNA (332 nucleotides) under soil metagenome. RNAcentral describes it as "partial contains 5.8S ribosomal RNA, internal transcribed spacer 2, and large subunit ribosomal RNA". The stretch from base 1 to 120 matches the Rfam family "5.8S ribosomal RNA", at positions 35 to 154 of the family's 154-position model. The record is from RNAcentral.